CAGGUAGCCGCGGGAAUACGGAGGGUGCAAGCGUUAAUCGGAAUUACUGGGCGUAAAGCGCACGCAGGCGGUCUGACAAGUCAGAUGUGAAAUCCCCGGGCUUAACCUGGGAACUGCAUUUGAAACUGUCAGGCUGGAGUCUUGUAGAGGGGGGUGGAAUUCCAGGUGUAGCGGUGAAAUGCGUAGAGAUCUGGAGGAAUACCGGUGGCGAAGGCGGCCCCCUGGACAAAGACUGACGCUCAGGUGCGAAAGCGUGGGGAGCAAACAGGAUUAGAUACCCGUGUAGUCCCUGUCUCUUAUA
RNAcentral lists this ribosomal RNA (301 nucleotides) under uncultured bacterium. RNAcentral's name for it is "partial 16S ribosomal RNA". It matches the Rfam family "Bacterial small subunit ribosomal RNA", at positions 508 to 808 of the family's 1533-position model. The record is from RNAcentral.